RNAcentral lists this long non-coding RNA (2064 nucleotides) under Marmota monax (woodchuck). Lineage: Eukaryota; Metazoa; Chordata; Mammalia; Rodentia; Sciuridae. The record is from RNAcentral.
CACAUGCUAGGCAAGUGCUCUACUGCUGAGCCACAACCUCAGCCCAAGUUUAUUAUUUAAAUACUCCGUAUUUUUAUUCAUAGUAUAUCCUAGUGGGAGACUCAAAUAGAUGAUUUAUGAUGUGGAUUUGCUAAUUUUCCUUUGUGAUUUUACCAAUUAUUUUAGGUAUUUCAAAAUCAGGUUAGGGAUAUUUAAAUUCAUGAUCAUUCCAUCUGUCUGGCAUAUUACUUAGCAAUGUGAAAUGUCCUCUUUUGAUAAUUUUAAUGUUUUUUAUUUUCAAUUCUAUUUUGAUAUCAAUGGUGCCUCUACUUUCUUUUAGUAACUGGCAGCUAUAGGUUUUUUAAAUUUAUAUAUGACAGUGGAAUAUAUUAUAAUUCUUAUUACACAUAUAGAGUACAAUUUUUCAUAUCACUGGUUGUAUACAUAGUAUAUUCACACCAAUUUGUGUCUUCAUACCUGUACUUUGGAUAAUAAUGAUCAUCAUAUUCCACCAUCAUGAAUAACCCCAUGCCCCCUCCCUUCCCCUACAACCCCUCUGCCCUAUCUAGAGUUUGUCUAUUCCUCCCAUGCUCUCGCUCCCUAUCCCACUAUGAAUCAGCCUCCUUAUAUCAAAUAAAACAUUCAGCAUUUGUUUUUUUUGGGAUUGGCUAACUUUACUUAGCAUUAUCUUCUCUAACUCUAUCCAUUUACCUGCAAAGGCCAUGAUUUUAUUCUCUUUGAUUGCUGAGUAAUAUUCCAUUGUGUAUCUAUGCCACAUUUGUUUUUAUCCAUUCAUCUAUUGAAGGGCAUGUAGGUUGGUUCCACAGUUUAGCUAUUGUGAAUUGUGCUGCUAUAAACAUUGAUAUGGCUGUGUCCCUGUAGUAUGCUGUUUUUAAGUCCUUUGGGUAAGCUAUAGGUUUUUAUACUUUUGGUCAUCACAGUUUUUUAUUUUCUUCAGUAUGUGAAUAGAGUUUUAAAAAUACAACCUGAGAUUUUGCCUUUUAGGAAACAAAUUUUUCCAUAUUUAUUAUUAUUUAAAAAUAUAUAUUUAGAUCCCUUCUGCCAUCUUAUUGUGUGUUUUCAAUUUGUGAUCUUUUACCAUCUCAUGUUCUUUUGUUUCCCUCCCCAGGCUUGUAAUGAGUUAAUGGAAUGUUCUUUGCCUCUUUUUGUAAUGUACUGGUGGAAAUUAUACAUUCUACUUUUAUUUUUGCAGUGGGUAUGUAGAAUCUUUGUCUUAAGAGGCCACUUUUUUCCUAAUAGUAUCUGAAUUUAAUCACUUUAUUGUCUUCUUAAUUAGCCAAUUCUUCAUCAUCAUCUGCACUUCCACCUUAAAUAUCCCAUGCUGACAUAAUCUAUAAUUUUGGCACCAGAGUGUUUUUUUAAUUUUUAAAAUUUAUAUAUGACAGCAGAAUGCAUUACAAUUCUCAUAACACAUAUCUCUGGUUGAAUACAAAGUAUAUUCACACCAAUUUGUGUCUUUAUACAUGUACUUUGGAUAAUAAUGUCCUCACAUUCCACCAUCAUUAAUAACCCCAUCCCCCCUAUCUUCCCUUCCCACCCCUCUACUCUAUCUAGAGUUUGUCUAUUCCUUCCACACUUCCCAUUCCAACCCCACUAUGGAUCAGCCUCCUUAUAUCAGAGAAAACAUUCAGCUUUUGGUUUUUUGGGAUUGGCUAACUUCACUUAGAUUUAUCUUCUCUAACUCCAUCCAUUUACCUGUAAAGGCCAUGAUUUUAUUAUCUUUUAUUGCUGAGUGUCAGCAAUAUUUUUUUAAUCCAUUCAUCUUUUGAAGGACAUCUAGGUUGGUCCCACAGUUUAGCUAUUGUGAAUUGUGCUGCUAUAUACAUUGAUGUGGCUGUGUCCCUGUAGUGUGCUGUUUUUAAGUCCUUUGGGUAUAGACCAAGGAGAGGGACAGCUGGGUCAAAUGGUGAGUCCAUUCCCAAUUUUCCAGGAAAUCUCCAUACUGCUUUCCAGAUUGGCUGCACCAAUUUGCAGACCCACCAGCAAUGUAUGAGUGUACCUUCCCCCCCCCCCAUCCUUUCCAACACUUAUUGUGGUUUGUCUUCAUAAUAGCUGCCAUUCUUA